UACGGGAGGCAGCAGUGGGGAAUAUUGCACAAUGGGCGCAAGCCUGAUGCAGCCAUGCCGCGUGUAUGAAAAAGGCCUUCGGGUUGUAAAGUACUUUCAGUCGUGAGGAAGGUGUUAAGGUUAAUAACCUUAACAAUUGACGUUAGCGACAGAAGAAGCACCGGCUAACUCCGUGCCAGCAGCCGCGGUAAUACGGAGGGUGCGAGCGUUAAUCGGAAUUACUGGGCGUAAAGGGCACGCAGGCGGUUAAUUAAGUUGGAUGUGAAAUCCCCGGGCUUAACCUGGGAAUGGCAUUCAAGACUGGUUAGCUAGAGUCUUGUAGAGGGGGUAGAAUUCCAUGUGUAGCGGUGAAAUGCGUAGAGAUGUGGAGGAAUACCGGUGGCGAAGGCGGCCCCUGGACAAAGACUGACGCUCAUGUGCGAAAGCGUGGGGAGCAAACAGGGAUUAGAUACC
This 453-nucleotide ribosomal RNA is filed under the name uncultured bacterium. Its description in RNAcentral is "bacterial SSU rRNA". It matches the Rfam family "Bacterial small subunit ribosomal RNA", at positions 340 to 786 of the family's 1533-position model. The record is from RNAcentral.